Molecule: ribosomal RNA, 497 nt
Filed under: uncultured bacterium
Lineage: Bacteria
Description: partial 16S ribosomal RNA
Rfam family: Bacterial small subunit ribosomal RNA
Source: RNAcentral
GAUGAACGCUGGCGGCGUGCCUAAUACAUGCAAGUCGAGCGAACAGAUGAGGAGCUUGCUCCUCUGACGUUAGCGGCGGACGGGUGAGUAACACGUGGAUAACCUACCUAUAAGACUGGGAUAACUUCGGGAAACCGGAGCUAAUACCGGAUAAUAUAUUGAACCGCAUGGUUCAAUAGUGAAAGACGGUUUUGCUGUCACUUAUAGAUGGAUCCGCGCCGCAUUAGCUAGUUGGUAAGGUAACGGCUUACCAAGGCAACGAUGCGUAGCCGACCUGAGAGGGGGGUCGGCCACACUGGAACUGAGACACGGUCCAGGCUCCUACGGGAGGCAGCAGUAGGGAAUCUUCCGCAAUGGGCGAAAGCCUGACGGAGCAACGCCGCGUGAGUGAUGAAGGUCUUCGGAUCGUAAAACUCUGUUAUUAGGGAAGAACAAAUGUGUAAGUAACUAUGCACGUCUUGACGGUACCUAAUCAGAAAGCCACGGCUAACUACGUG